RNAcentral lists this ribosomal RNA (253 nucleotides) under uncultured bacterium. Its description in RNAcentral is "partial 16S ribosomal RNA". It matches the Rfam family "Bacterial small subunit ribosomal RNA", at positions 524 to 776 of the family's 1533-position model. The record is from RNAcentral.
GACGUAGGGCGCGAGCGUUGUCCGGAUUUAUUGGGCGUAAAGAGCUCGUAGGCGGCUCGUUGCGUCAACCGUGAAAACCCGGGGCUCAACUCCGGAUCUGCGGUGGGUACGGGCAGACUAGAGUGAUGUAGGGGAGACUGGAAUUCCUGGUGUAGCGGUGAAAUGCGCAGAUAUCAGGAGGAACACCGAUGGCGAAGGCAGCUCGCUGGGACGUAACUGACGCUGAGACGCGAAAGCGUGGGGAGCAAACAGG